UACGAAGGGGGCUAGCGUUGCUCGGAAUCACUGGGCGUAAAGGGUGCGUAGGCGGGGCUUUAAGUCAGGGGUGAAAUCCUGGAGCUCAACUCCAGAACUGCCUUUGAUACUGAAGAUCUUGAGUUCGGGAGAGGUGAGUGGAACUGCGAGUGUAGAGGUGAAAUUCGUAGAUAUUCGCAAGAACACCAGUGGCGAAGGCGGCUCACUGGCCCGGUACUGACGCUGAGGUGCGAAAGCGUGGGGAGCAAACAGG
This 253-nucleotide ribosomal RNA is filed under the name uncultured bacterium. RNAcentral's name for it is "partial 16S ribosomal RNA". It matches the Rfam family "Bacterial small subunit ribosomal RNA", at positions 524 to 776 of the family's 1533-position model. The record is from RNAcentral.